Non-coding RNA from Acyrthosiphon pisum (pea aphid), 143 nucleotides. The record is from Rfam. NCBI's taxonomy places the organism in Eukaryota, Metazoa, Arthropoda, Insecta, Hemiptera, Aphididae.
GUCAGCACAAUCCGGAACCUCCCCAACUUGCUCGACAUGAGGGGUGCUGAUGUCGGGGGAAACCCUCCCGUGAACCAGCGGGAUAGAGUGAAAGACAAAGACCGGGAAAAACUAAAGCGCCCUUUAUGUGGCGCUUUAGUUCU